RNAcentral lists this long non-coding RNA (353 nucleotides) under Brassica rapa (field mustard). Its description in RNAcentral is "long non-coding RNA (BRAP_LNC001785)". The record is from RNAcentral. Lineage: Eukaryota; Viridiplantae; Streptophyta; Magnoliopsida; Brassicales; Brassicaceae.
CUAAAUAUAAAUUUUAUAUUUAUUAUAAUAUUAUUAUUUUUGAUAUUUUUAUAAUUGUAUAAAAUGUAAAUAUUAUUAAUUUAUUAUUUAACUGCUGCUGCAUUUGGUAGUUAACCAGUCAUAAGUAUCCCGCAAACGCACAAAUUUCUAACCGCAGAACCAGUCGUACAAAUCUCUUAAAACCGCUAGAAACCGCAACCACCCGCAUCCGCAAACUCCCGCAACCGCAACCGUAACCGCUGCGGUUAAACCAGUCAGGCCCUUAUUUCCACGCGAACUAUAUGAUAAAAUAUUCAAAUAACAAACGUAUUUAUACAAAUGAUGGUAAAACGGGUUAAGAUAAUAGCUUGUGU